RNAcentral lists this ribosomal RNA (527 nucleotides) under uncultured bacterium. RNAcentral describes it as "bacterial SSU rRNA". It matches the Rfam family "Bacterial small subunit ribosomal RNA", at positions 777 to 1304 of the family's 1533-position model. The record is from RNAcentral.
AAUAGAUACCCCGGUAGUCCACGCCGUAAACGAUGUCGGCUUGGAGGUUGUUCCCUUGAGGAGUGGCUUCCGGAGCUAACGCGUUAAGUCGACCGCCUGGGGAGUACGGCCGCAAGGUUAAAACUCAAAUGAAUUGACGGGGGCCCGCACAAGCGGUGGAGCAUGUGGUUUAAUUCGAUGCAACGCGAAGAACCUUACCUACUCUUGACAUCCACGGAACUUUUCAGAGAUGAAUUGGUGCCUUCGGGAACCGUGAGACAGGUGCUGCAUGGCUGUCGUCAGCUCGUGUUGUGAAAUGUUGGGUUAAGUCCCGCAACGAGCGCAACCCUUAUCCUUUGUUGCCAGCGGUCCGGCCGGGAACUCAAAGGAGACUGCCAGUGAUAAACUGGAGGAAGGUGGGGAUGACGUCAAGUCAUCAUGGCCCUUACGAGUAGGGCUACACACGUGCUACAAUGGCGCAUACAAAGAGAAGCGACCUCGCGAGAGCAAGCGGACCUCAUAAAGUGCGUCGUAGUCCGGAUUGGAGU